CUGCCGUGGGCGCUGGAGAACUGAGGGGGGCUGCUCCUAGUACGAGAGGACCGGAGUGGACGCAUCACUGGUGUUCGGGUUGUCAUGCCAAUGGCACUGCCCGGUAGCUAAAUGCGGAAGAGAUAAGUGCUGAAAGCAUCUAAGCACGAAACUUGCCCCGAGAUGAGUUCUCCCUGAGACUUAGAGUCUCCUGAAGGAACGUUGAAGACGACGACGUUGAUAGGCCGGGUGUGUAAGCGCAGCGAUGCGUUGAGCUAACCGGUACUAAUGAACCGUGAGGCUUAACCUUACAACGCCGAAG
Molecule: ribosomal RNA, 301 nt
Filed under: Salmonella enterica subsp. enterica serovar Tennessee
Lineage: Bacteria; Pseudomonadati; Pseudomonadota; Gammaproteobacteria; Enterobacterales; Enterobacteriaceae
Description: partial 23S ribosomal RNA
Rfam family: Bacterial large subunit ribosomal RNA
Source: RNAcentral